Molecule: long non-coding RNA, 437 nt
Filed under: Phoenix dactylifera (date palm)
Lineage: Eukaryota; Viridiplantae; Streptophyta; Magnoliopsida; Arecales; Arecaceae
Description: long non-coding RNA (PDAC_LNC019995)
Source: RNAcentral
AAUAAUAUAAUAAUCAUGAUGGAUGCUAUUUAUCCAAAAUCAUGCAAUCAUUUGCUAACACAUGUUGGAUCCUAAUUUUGUGAAAAUAUAAAUAAUCAUAUACAAUUUCAUAACAAAUAGUCACAAGUAUUUGAUAGAACAUAAGAUUAUAUCCGGGUUACUUACAUUUUUCACAAUUCAUAUACACAAUUCCAAUAAUACUUUUUCAUCAUAUAAAACGUGAUACAUGAUCCAUAAUAAGAUUAAGACAGGUUACUUACAUUAAUUUGCUCACCAAAUGCUAAUUCUCCAAUACCUAGCAAUAUCAUUAAAUUACAUGUUACUUGCACAUUUAAUUUAUUUUUAUUUAUAAUCUUAAAAUCAUUUACAGCCCAUCCAUAGGACUCAAUUUCAUUUUCGGGUCCACAGCCUAAUUCAAUUUCUGGUACAGGUCUGGG